This is a long non-coding RNA of Uloborus diversus, 382 nucleotides long. RefSeq lists it as uncharacterized. The record is from RefSeq and is a predicted model, not a curated record. The transcript is spliced from 3 exons. Lineage: Eukaryota; Metazoa; Arthropoda; Arachnida; Araneae; Uloboridae.
GCCAGCUCUACUUUACCAUGUUAAUCCUACGAGGAUGCUGAGUGAGGUAUAAUAUUUGGGAAAUUAGUAAAGGUUUUAUCUAUUUCUUCGGUUUCAAAAGCACUUAUUUCAAUACCAGAACCCUGAAUUUUUUUGUUCACGUUUGCAAUCACUUCAGUGGGCGUGAUGGCUCAGAUUCUCAAAAGAUGAGCAGCAGGAGAAAAUUGGACCAGAAAUAUAAGUGAAUUUCCAGGGUUUCCAAGACCCGAACUAUGGUCAUCAAAACUGGAGUGUCUGGAGUCAUUAGCCUAGCAAUACGUUUUUCAUAUGAACUGAUAUUUGCUUACAGCUUAAGGUGUUUGUAUUGAUUGUUGGAUUGGUACAUAUUAUGAAUGUAUGUAAA